AUAUUGAGGGGAGUUCCCUGUGCUAUACAGCUUAGAGAGGAUGACUGGCUGGUCCGAGUUCUCACAGUAGUAGAGUUUGGAGGCUCAGUACAAGCGUUCUGGCGUCUCCGUGUCUGAAUCCAGCCGUGGCAGUCGGGAGUCAAGGAUCACACAUAAAUCUGAUUCUCAUGACAUUUCAGCCCAGACCAGACCCCACCAGAAACCUCCAGGUACUGCAACUAGAGAACUGCAGCCACUCUCCUGGGGGUGUAGAGGCUUCUGCCAGAGAGCUGGUGGCUCAGGGGUGUGGACCAUCCAAGGAAUGACUGCCAGUGGACAAAGUGACUUUCUGGUCCUGGUGGAGGCACCGGUACCAGGCGAUGGGGGCUAAACUGUAGGGAACAUGGGGCCAAGGUGGCACUGAGGGGCUCCCCGCUGCCUCUGGGGCAAAGCCGCUCACAUUCUGUUCAAAGGCAGGGUCCUGGCAUCCACUGGCUCGCCAGGUGCUCUCAGCAGCAGGCAGAGGCAUUCAGGGUCCAAAUCUGCCUAUGCUACUCAUCAGCUGGGGGACCCAGGCACAGGACCCAGUCUCUGUGCCUCCGUUUCCUCAUCUGUGCCAGUUUCCUGUGGCUGCUGCAACCAAUUUACUGUGCACGACAAACAACCACAUAUCAGGGGAAUUAUGACAGCAGAAAUUUACUCUUCCACAAUUCUGAAAACUAAAACUCUGAAAUCUGGAUCCCUCUAGGAGCUCUAAAUGAGAACCGUGGAGUUCCCGCAGUGGCACAGUGGGUUAAGAAUCCCACUGCAGCUCA
This is a long non-coding RNA of Phacochoerus africanus (Common warthog), 794 nucleotides long. RefSeq lists it as uncharacterized. The record is from RefSeq and is a predicted model, not a curated record. Lineage: Eukaryota; Metazoa; Chordata; Mammalia; Artiodactyla; Suidae. The transcript is spliced from 3 exons.